AGUGAACGCUGGCGGCGUGCCUAAUACAUGCAAGUCGAACGAACACAUAAUAAGCGUUCGCCUCUAACGGUAGCGACUGACGGAUGGGUGAGGAGUACAUAACCAUCUUCUAUUUCUUGGGGGACAUCGUAAGGCCACUGAUGAUACUACCGAAUAUGUUCAACGGCAUAAAGCAGUAGUUAUACGCACUUUUCCCGUCACAUUGAGAUGAUGCCGCAUUAGCUAGUUGGCGAGGUAAAGGCCCACCAAGGCAACGAUCCGUAGCUGAUCUGAGAGGGUGAUCGGCCACACUGGAACUGAGACACGGUCCAGACUCCUACGGGAGGCAGCAGUAGGGAAUAUUCGGCAAUGGGCGAAAGCCUGAUGCAGCCACGCCGCGUGAGUGAAGAAGGUCUUCGGAUUGUAAAACUCUGUUAUUAGGGAAGAAAAGCUGUGUAAGUAAAUACGCCCGUCUUGACGGUACCUAAUGAGAAAGCAACGGCUAACUACGUG
RNAcentral lists this ribosomal RNA (492 nucleotides) under uncultured bacterium. RNAcentral describes it as "partial 16S ribosomal RNA". It matches the Rfam family "Bacterial small subunit ribosomal RNA", at positions 29 to 507 of the family's 1533-position model. The record is from RNAcentral.